AUGCUAGUCGCGCGCGUCCAACCAUGAGGACGAGCGGCAGACCGCUCAGUAACACGUAGCUAACCUACCCUUGGGACGNGAANACCCCCGGGAAACUGGGGUNAAUUCCCGAUAGGNGUGAAGGCCUGGAAUGGUUNNACGCUUAAAUGCUCUUCUAUCANGUUUGAUGNGNGCCCGAGGAUGGGGCUGCGGCCGAUCAGGCUGUUGGCGAGGUAACGGCUCACCAAACCUUUGACCGGUACGGGCCAUGAAAGUGGUAGCCCGGAGAUGGGCACUGAGACAGGGGCCCAGGCCCUACGGGGCGCAGCAGGCGCGAAAACUCCACAAUGUACGGAAGUACGAUGGGGUUANCUCGAGUGCAGUCCGAUAAGGGUUGCUUUUCCAUAGAGUAAUAUCCUGUGGGAAUAAGCGGGGGGGCA
RNAcentral lists this ribosomal RNA (419 nucleotides) under uncultured crenarchaeote. Its description in RNAcentral is "partial 16S ribosomal RNA". It matches the Rfam family "Archaeal small subunit ribosomal RNA", at positions 51 to 449 of the family's 1478-position model. The record is from RNAcentral. Lineage: Archaea; Thermoproteati; Thermoproteota.